Molecule: long non-coding RNA, 1008 nt
Filed under: Betta splendens (Siamese fighting fish)
Lineage: Eukaryota; Metazoa; Chordata; Actinopteri; Anabantiformes; Osphronemidae
Description: lncRNA (ENSBSLG00000002620.1)
Source: RNAcentral
AUGUAUGUAAAGUAUUUCAUCAUCAUUUUGCACAUGCUGUACACAGUACGUCUGUCCAGUGGUCAUGCAGAGAGCAGCGAGAGUGAUUCCACUCAAGUCAUCAGAGAGAGGAGGAAAAAGGAGACGAGAGGAAGGUCACAGUGCACCUCCUCUGAGAAGCAAAGUCACAGCUCAGAGGGGUCAUCUAGAUCUUCCAGUACUGUCAUCAUUGCCUCAGAUGCAGUGGUCCAAAGCUUUCAAAGGGAUGUCUCCUCAGGGAAAUGCAAGAAGAGGAGGCAAAGGAGUGGGGUACAAGUUGAACAAGUCAGUGAACCACUGAGCGCAGAGAAGGUGCUAAAGGAAAAAAACAGGAACAAAGGCGAUGAAUCUGCGAGUCAGCGUUCAAGUGAAGUGUCAGGAAGGGAAACUGAAGAAUCCACAGGCAAAAAUGCAGAAAAUGCAAGUGCUGAUGACAAAUUAGAGCAGUGCAGAAGAGAAGAUUCAGGAAGCAUUUGUAUACAGCUUAAAUGUAAAGCUAGGGAUGAAAAACAAAAGCAGAUUAUUAGCUCUGAGCAAAGCAGUUCAGAAGAAAAGGAUGAAGCCGACGAGCAUCAGGAAGAUAGAGGGGAGAAUAAAACUGAAGACAAAGAGGACAGCUUGGUAGGUGAUGAUCAAGAUGGAGAUGUGGAGGAUGAGCCUGAUGAAAAAGAAAAAUGUCUGAAAGAGAAGGAACAAAAAGAAAAAGAUGAGGAGGAAGCUGAUGAGAAAGAGGAGGAUGAGCUGGAGGAGCAGAAAUGCAAAGAUAAAGAUGAGCUAAAGAAAGAUGAUAGUGACGACAGAAGUUCAGCCUCCUCACAGGAUGAAGAGGAUGAGAGUGAACAAGACAAGACAGGAGAGGAUGAGGAGGGGUCCGAAGACGAAGAGCAGGGAGAGAGUGAGGAGGAGCAGAGGAGUGACAAGGAAGGAGAACCAGAGGAGGAGGAAAGCGAUUCAGAAGAAAGCGUAAUCUCUCCACAGGACAAGAGGUAA